Molecule: ribosomal RNA, 465 nt
Filed under: uncultured Streptococcus sp.
Lineage: Bacteria; Bacillati; Bacillota; Bacilli; Lactobacillales; Streptococcaceae
Description: bacterial SSU rRNA
Rfam family: Bacterial small subunit ribosomal RNA
Source: RNAcentral
CCUACGGGGGGCAGCAGUAGGGAAUCUUCGGCAAUGGGGGCAACCCUGACCGAGCAACGCCGCGUGAGUGAAGAAGGUUUUCGGAUCGUAAAGCUCUGUUGUAAGUCAAGAACGAGUGUGAGAGUGGAAAGUUCACACUGUGACGGUAGCUUACCAGAAAGGGACGGCUAACUACGUGCCAGCAGCCGCGGUAAUACGUAGGUCCCGAGCGUUGUCCGGAUUUAUUGGGCGUAAAGCGAGCGCAGGCGGUUAGAUAAGUCUGAAGUUAAAGGCUGUGGCUUAACCAUAGUACGCUUUGGAAACUGUUUAACUUGAGUGCAGAAGGGGAGAGUGGAAUUCCAUGUGUAGCGGUGAAAUGCGUAGAUAUAUGGAGGAACACCGGUGGCGAAAGCGGCUCUCUGGUCUGUAACUGACGCUGAGGCUCGAAAGCGUGGGGAGCAAACAGGAUUAGAUACCCGAGUAGUC